ACUCACCGAUCAGCCGGCGCACCUCGUCCUCGCUCAGGUAGAGACUCACGCUGGGCCCCGCGGAAGCCGACUGCAACUCCGGCCCGGCCGCCCCAGCCGCGCCGCCCCACGCAUGGCCGCCGCCGCCGCCGCCGAAGAGGAGCGUCGGCCGCCCGCCGCACCGCCGCCCACCCCCGGCCCCGAGCCGCUCACAGCCCCGAGCCGGGGGCGGCUGCCCAGCUCAUCGCACCGCCGGCCCGUGGCAGCCAGCAGUGGCUUCAGACCUCCGGAGCGCGCCGCCGCCGCCGCCUCCUCGCUGCAUCGUCCGGAGUUGGGGGCUGCCCGCGGGACGCGCCCGUGCGCGCCGCCGCCUCCCCGGGAGCGCGCACGCACCUUUCGCUCUGGGCGGGCCGGCCUGGGCAACGCGCUGGGGUUUUAAAGUGCCUCGGCGGGCGAAGGGCUCGGGUCACCCUCUCCGCAAGAGCCGGUCCCCGCCCCACGCGGUCACUGCGUCUAAUGUUUGCUUGUCUAUUGUCUGUAACCCUCCUUUCCCGACGGACGGGCCAGGCUGGAGCCACCGGCCGCGCCUGCAGCUCAGUGGGCGCCCCAGGUCCCCGGAAACGCCUGGAUGCGGCCGUUCUGGUUGCGAAAAAGCAGCAUGCUUUCCUGUUUAGUGGGAAAACUCAAAUAAAU
This 672-nucleotide long non-coding RNA is filed under the name Homo sapiens (human). Its description in RNAcentral is "HSALNT0314799". Lineage: Eukaryota; Metazoa; Chordata; Mammalia; Primates; Hominidae. The record is from RNAcentral.